This 763-nucleotide ribosomal RNA is filed under the name uncultured Streptococcus sp. RNAcentral describes it as "bacterial SSU rRNA". It matches the Rfam family "Bacterial small subunit ribosomal RNA", at positions 28 to 776 of the family's 1533-position model. Lineage: Bacteria; Bacillati; Bacillota; Bacilli; Lactobacillales; Streptococcaceae. The record is from RNAcentral.
GACGAACGCGGCGGCGUGCCUCAUACAUGCAAGUAGACGCCGAGAGAGGAGCUUGCUCUUCUUGGAUGAGUUGAGAACGGGUGAGUAACGCGUAGGUAACCCGCCUGGUAGCGGGGGAUAACUAUUGGAAACGAUAGCUAAUACCGCAUAAAAAUUAAUUAUUGCAUGAUAAUUAAUUGAAAGAUGCAAUUGCAUCACUACCAGAUGGACCUGCGUUGUAUUAGCUAGUUGGUGAGGUAACGGCUCACCAAGGCGACGAUACAUAGCCGACCUGAGAGGGUGAUCGGCCACACUGGGACUGAGACACGGCCCAGACUCCUACGGGAGGCAGCAGUAGGGAAUCUUCGGCAAUGGGGGGAACCCUGACCGAGCAACGCCGCGUGAGUGAAGAAGGUUUUCGGAUCGUAAAGCUCUGUUGUAAGAGAAGAACGGGUGUGAGAGUGGAAAGUUCACACUGUGACGGUAUCUUACCAGAAAGGGACGGCUAACUACGUGCCAGCAGCCGCGGUAAUACGUAGGUCCCGAGCGUUGUCCGGAUUUAUUGGGCGUAAAGCGAGCGCAGGCGGUUAGAUAAGUCUGAAGUUAAAGGCUGUGGCUUAACCAUAGUAUGCUUUGGAAACUGUUUAACUUGAGUGCAGAAGGGGAGAGUGGAAUUCCAUGUGUAGCGGUGAAAUGCGUAGAUAUAUGGAGGAACACCGGUGGCGAAAGCGGCUCUCUGGUCUGUAACUGACGCUGAGGCUCGAAAGCGUGGGGAGCAAACAGG